This 93-nucleotide transfer RNA is filed under the name Tumebacillus algifaecis. RNAcentral describes it as "Selenocysteine transfer RNA". It matches the Rfam family "Selenocysteine transfer RNA". Lineage: Bacteria; Bacillati; Bacillota; Bacilli; Caryophanales; Alicyclobacillaceae. The record is from Rfam by way of RNAcentral.
GGGGGCAGCUGGAGUACUGGUGUUUCCCCUGGUCUUCAAAACCAUGUGCGGCCUACGGUGUAGGCUGGGUGGGUUCGAUUCCCACGUGCUCCC